AGAACUGAUAUUCCAAAGAGUGGAAUGAGGGGGUAACGCCCCAAAACGCUCUCCUUAAUACUCCUACAUGCUGUGCAACUGCUGAAAUGCACAGUAUGAAGCUAGGUGAAGUCGGCAGAGAGAUACCGUAAGGCAUGAAAAUGCCACGAAAGCUGUCCAGCGGUGGGCGGUGUAUCCUAUAUGCCGGAGGUCUAUAAA
Molecule: non-coding RNA, 198 nt
Filed under: Blautia hansenii
Lineage: Bacteria; Bacillati; Bacillota; Clostridia; Lachnospirales; Lachnospiraceae
Source: RNAcentral